RNAcentral lists this ribosomal RNA (497 nucleotides) under uncultured bacterium. RNAcentral's name for it is "partial 16S ribosomal RNA". It matches the Rfam family "Bacterial small subunit ribosomal RNA", at positions 28 to 507 of the family's 1533-position model. The record is from RNAcentral.
GAUGAACGCUGGCGGCGUGCCUAAUACAUGCAAGUCGAGCGAACGGACGAGAAGCUUGCUUCUCUGAUGUUAGCGGCGGACGGGUGAGUAACACGUGGAUAACCUACCUAUAAGACUGGGAUAACUUCGGGAAACCGGAGCUAAUACCGGAUAAUAUUUUGAAUCGCAUGGUUCAAAAGUGAAAGACGGCCUUGCUGUCACUUAUAGAUGGAUCCGCGCUGCAUUAGCUAGUUGGUAAGGUAACGGCUUACCAAGGCAACGAUGCAUAGCCGACCUGAGAGGGUGAUCGGCCACACUGGAACUGAGACACGGUCCAGACUCCUACGGGAGGCAGCAGUAGGGAAUCUUCCGCAAAGGGCGAAAGCCUGACGGAGCAACGCCGCGUGAGUGAUGAAGGUCUUCGGAUCGUAAAACUCUGUUAUUAGGGAAGAACAUAUGUGUAAGUAACUGUGCACAUCUUGACGGUACCUAAUCAGAAAGCCACGGCUAACUACGUG